GAAAAGCGAGUGAAGCAGCCCGUACCGUAAACCGACACAGGUGGUUGGGAUGAGUAUUCUAAGGCGCUCGAGAGAUUCAUGGCUAAGGAACUAGGCAAAAUAGACCCGUAACUUCGGGAGAAGGGUCGCCCCCUUAUGGGGGGCCGCAGUGAAGAGGUCCAGGCGACUGUUUAUCAAAAACRCAGGGCUCUGCAAAAUCGAAAKAUGACGUAUAGGGCUGACWCCUGCCCGGUGCUGGAAGGUUAAGAGGAGAUGUCAUUCCUUCGGGUACAAGCAUUAAUU
RNAcentral lists this ribosomal RNA (282 nucleotides) under Myroides sp. Amph-upper. Its description in RNAcentral is "partial large subunit ribosomal RNA". It matches the Rfam family "Bacterial large subunit ribosomal RNA", at positions 1612 to 1912 of the family's 2925-position model. Lineage: Bacteria; Pseudomonadati; Bacteroidota; Flavobacteriia; Flavobacteriales; Flavobacteriaceae. The record is from RNAcentral.